Molecule: ribosomal RNA, 164 nt
Filed under: uncultured bacterium
Lineage: Bacteria
Description: partial 16S ribosomal RNA
Rfam family: Bacterial small subunit ribosomal RNA
Source: RNAcentral
UGUAAUGGCAGGUCAGAAUACUGCCGUGAAUACGUUCCCGGGCCUUGUACACACCGCCCGUCACACCAUGAGAGUUGGGAAUACCCGAAGCCUGUGAGCUAACCGUAAGGGAGCAGCAGUCGAAGGUAGAAUCAAUGAUUGGGGCGAAGUCGUAACAAGGUAGC